RNAcentral lists this ribosomal RNA (387 nucleotides) under uncultured bacterium. Its description in RNAcentral is "bacterial SSU rRNA". It matches the Rfam family "Bacterial small subunit ribosomal RNA", at positions 29 to 443 of the family's 1533-position model. The record is from RNAcentral.
AAUGAACGCUGGCGGCAGGCCUAACACAUGCAAGUCGAACGGAUCCUUCGGGAUUAGUGGCGGACGGGUGAGUAACGCGUGGGAACAUACCCUUUGGUACGGAAUAGCCUCGGGAAACUGGGAGUAAUACCGUACGUGCUCGCAAGAGGAAAGAUUUAUCGCCAAAGGAUUGGCCCGCGUUGGAUUAGGUAGUUGGUGGGGUAAUGGCCUACCAAGCCGACGAUCCAUAGCUGGUUUGAGAGGAUGAUCAGCCACACUGGGACUGAGACACGGCCCAGACUCCUACGGGAGGCAGCAGUGGGGAAUCUUAGACAAUGGGGGAAACCCUGAUCUAGCCAUGCCGCGUGAUCGAUGAAGGCCUUAGGGUUGUAAAGAUCUUUCAGAUGG